Long non-coding RNA from Tupaia belangeri chinensis (Chinese tree shrew), 1884 nucleotides. RefSeq lists it as uncharacterized. NCBI's taxonomy places the organism in Eukaryota, Metazoa, Chordata, Mammalia, Scandentia, Tupaiidae. The transcript has 3 exons. The record is from RefSeq and is a predicted model, not a curated record.
GAGAAGGUGCAGGAGUCAAACGGAUCUCAACUAUGAAAACUCCCCAGUACAAUCCCACCACAGUAAGAUUUGCCAUUGGGCUGCAAAAACAGACUUAGACCAAGACGGCGCACAGCCCCGACCAAGGCUUCCAUGGGAAACGUCUGGAGGUUCUGGAUGUCACUGAUCUGCCUGGCCCGGCUCCUGAGCCUGGGUACUCCUGGACGCUCUCUGGAGUCCGGCUGGGACCCAAGGGCUAUGUUUGGCCUUGGACGUUUUGUUUUUUUAGUUAUAGCUGCAUUGUAUUUCAAGAUGUGGAAAACUCAUAGAAUUCCGGAUAUCGACUGUAGCUUCUUUUGAUAACUUGGAAGGGGUCUGGCUGUACUGGGCCCACGUUCCUGCUUAGCCGUGUUGGGUUUGAUCUGAUGGGUGGCUGCCACCAUCACGGGGGACCCACUCUUCAUGCCCGCCCUGCCUAGCCCUGCAAGCAGCUGAGCUUGUGGCCCCCUGUGGGUCCACCCCUCAAUUUACACAUGAGAGCACUGAGGGCCAGGAGGUACAGGUGAGACUCUGACACACCAAGCAUGCUGGCAGGGGGCAGGGGGGUGGGGACCGAGAGGGACUGUCCUCCUGGUUGCUCCACCCUGUGGUGUGACGUGGAGGGGGAGGGCUGGACUGUGCAGGCACUAAGAUUUCCGAUUCCAGCCGGCCCGGCGAUUCAGCGGACAGAGGCCCACGCGGAGGGGAAAGGCCCCCAGAGCAGUUUGUACCUGCUCUGAAGUCCCACAGGGAUACUCGACCUCAGAACCCCUUCCGGGACCUCAGGGAGAUACCCUGGCUGCUGGGAACCUGGCUCCUAGUUCGAGGUCGUUCAUGUGAACCACACCUCCCCAGCCACCAUCACGUGCGACUCGGGGCUCCCUCUGCUGGACAGACCUGGCACUAUCCCCCAGGGCAUACUAUCACAGAUCUUUGAAAAAGUGCCCAGUACCCUCCACCCUCCCUGCCCCAGCGAGGGAGUAGCCACAAGGAGAUGCGGGGUCAUCUCCAGCCUUAACAUGGCACUGUCACGACCUUGGGGCCUCGAGGAGCUACUCCAUCCCUCCCUGCAUCCCUCACGGAGGUGAACCCAGGAACAGCUUUCUCCGCCCUGCCGGCCUCUUCGGCACAGGCACCUGCUUCUCAUUCUCCAUGGCGCUCUCUCCGAGGACCAUGUCUGGUCAAGGCCUCGGUGAGGUACAGCUUCACAUGAGUUCCCGGGGGCUCAGCGUCAGGCCCGGCUGCUGCUGGAUUGAUGAGUGUCCUUGGAACUGUCACGGCAGAGCGCUCUGUCCCCAGCGCUGCCGCCGACCUGCCCAGCACACUCUCUCCCUCUGCUCGACACCUGCUAAUGUGAGCCAGCGUCUGCGCUGCAUCAGCCCAGCCAGUCUGGUUGGCGUGAGGAGGGGGUGAUGUGAGAUGUGGGCUUUCUGGAAGACCUCAGGGCCACCCUAUAGAGCCCCUUGCUCUGGAGUGAGGUGGGCCAUGACCUGGAGGAAAGUCGGGACCCCUGCAGCAAGACCCUAGCUCUGCGGGGACACAGGGUGGGGACAAGGCUGGGGACCUCUGGUCACAUUCUUCUUGACAGGACAACGGGGAUUUCGAAAUUGGGUUUCAGUUCCUCAGCACCUCUGCCUGCCUAUGGAAAAACUGACCUGCUGGUUCCCUGUCUGGGCAGUUCCUCAAACACUGCGGGGCAGGGGCUGACCCCACCAGGGUAAGGCCAUGUGAGUGGGUGUCACAGUUCACAGUGUGGCUGGGCAUCCGUGGCCCACUCUGUCACACAUUAAGCAAACUCAUGAGAGGAAGGGCUAGAUUGAUCCAGAAAUACAGGAGGUGCCUUCCUUGGCACCUUGCUUCUGCCCC